AUGAACGCUGGCGGCGUGCCUAAUACAUGCCCGUCGAGCGCACAGAUAAGGAGCUUGCUCCUUUGACGUUAGCGGCGGACGGGUGAGUAACACGUGGAUAACCUACCUAUAAGACUGGGAUAACUUCGGGAAACCGGAGCUAAUACCGGAUAACAUAUUGAACCGCAUGGUUCAAUAGUGAAAGGCGGCUUUGCUGUCACUUAUAGAUGGAUCCGCGCCGUAUUAGCUAGUUGGUAAGGUAACGGCUUACCAAGGCAACGAUACGUAGCCGACCUGAGAGGGUGAUCGGCCACACUGGAACUGAGACACGGUCCAGACUCCUACGGGAGGCAGCAGUAGGGAAUCUUCCGCAAUGGGCGAAAGCCUGACGGAGCAACGCCGCGUGAGUGAUGAAGGUCUUCGGAUCGUAAAACUCUGUUAUCAGGGAAGAACAAAUGUGUAAGUAACUGUGCACAUCUUGACGGUACCUGAUCAGAAAGCCACGGCUAACUACGUG
RNAcentral lists this ribosomal RNA (496 nucleotides) under uncultured bacterium. RNAcentral describes it as "partial 16S ribosomal RNA". It matches the Rfam family "Bacterial small subunit ribosomal RNA", at positions 29 to 507 of the family's 1533-position model. The record is from RNAcentral.